RNAcentral lists this non-coding RNA (100 nucleotides) under Mustela putorius furo (domestic ferret). The record is from RNAcentral. Lineage: Eukaryota; Metazoa; Chordata; Mammalia; Carnivora; Mustelidae.
GGCUGGUAGGAGUGCACUGGUGUUUACAAUUCAUUGAUCACAGCCAAUUAUGGAGUUUUUUUGUUCCUUCUCUCACACUGCUACACUUGACUAGCCUAAA